GGAAAAACUAUUGCCUGAUACCUCCUGGGUUGUCCACGUGCAUGAAGAGCAUGUCCUCAUCUCCGUCCAAGAUCGAGUAAAACUGCAAACGGGCACAGAGAGAGAGAGAGAGAGGAAAAAAAACAGUAAAUACUGGAUGAUUUGUACAAAUACUCACUCCAGUAUCAUCGCCCACCCAGAUCCAGAACCACGUGCUCAGCUGGAGUGAGGGGGAGACGACAGGAGGUGAAGGGAGGACCGUGAUAGGGGCUCGAACGGCUGGCUUCCCUCCUGGGACGCACGCGUGCACGCCCGCGAGCUUCAUCCCGGUGGA
This is a long non-coding RNA of Oryzias melastigma (Indian medaka), 313 nucleotides long. RefSeq lists it as uncharacterized. The transcript is spliced from 3 exons. The record is from RefSeq and is a predicted model, not a curated record. NCBI's taxonomy places the organism in Eukaryota, Metazoa, Chordata, Actinopteri, Beloniformes, Adrianichthyidae.